This 1418-nucleotide ribosomal RNA is filed under the name Lactiplantibacillus plantarum. Its description in RNAcentral is "bacterial SSU rRNA". It matches the Rfam family "Bacterial small subunit ribosomal RNA". Lineage: Bacteria; Bacillati; Bacillota; Bacilli; Lactobacillales; Lactobacillaceae. The record is from RNAcentral.
GUCGACGAACUCUGGUAUUGAUUGGUGCUUGCAUCAUGAUUUACAUUUGAGUGAGUGGCGAACUGGUGAGUAACACGUGGGAAACCUGCCCAGAAGCGGGGGAUAACACCUGGAAACAGAUGCUAAUACCGCAUAACAACUUGGACCGCAUGGUCCGAGUUUGAAAGAUGGCUUCGGCUAUCACUUUUGGAUGGUCCCGCGGCGUAUUAGCUAGAUGGUGGGGUAACGGCUCACCAUGGCAAUGAUACGUAGCCGACCUGAGAGGGUAAUCGGCCACAUUGGGACUGAGACACGGCCCAAACUCCUACGGGAGGCAGCAGUAGGGAAUCUUCCACAAUGGACGAAAGUCUGAUGGAGCAACGCCGCGUGAGUGAAGAAGGGUUUCGGCUCGUAAAACUCUGUUGUUAAAGAAGAACAUAUCUGAGAGUAACUGUUCAGGUAUUGACGGUAUUUAACCAGAAAGCCACGGCUAACUACGUGCCAGCAGCCGCGGUAAUACGUAGGUGGCAAGCGUUGUCCGGAUUUAUUGGGCGUAAAGCGAGCGCAGGCGGUUUUUUAAGUCUGAUGUGAAAGCCUUCGGCUCAACCGAAGAAGUGCAUCGGAAACUGGGAAACUUGAGUGCAGAAGAGGACAGUGGAACUCCAUGUGUAGCGGUGAAAUGCGUAGAUAUAUGGAAGAACACCAGUGGCGAAGGCGGCUGUCUGGUCUGUAACUGACGCUGAGGCUCGAAAGUAUGGGUAGCAAACAGGAUUAGAUACCCUGGUAGUCCAUACCGUAAACGAUGAAUGCUAAGUGUUGGAGGGUUUCCGCCCUUCAGUGCUGCAGCUAACGCAUUAAGCAUUCCGCCUGGGGAGUACGGCCGCAAGGCUGAAACUCAAAGGAAUUGACGGGGGCCCGCACAAGCGGUGGAGCAUGUGGUUUAAUUCGAAGCUACGCGAAGAACCUUACCAGGUCUUGACAUACUAUGCAAAUCUAAGAGAUUAGACGUUCCCUUCGGGGACAUGGAUACAGGUGGUGCAUGGUUGUCGUCAGCUCGUGUCGUGAGAUGUUGGGUUAAGUCCCGCAACGAGCGCAACCCUUAUUAUCAGUUGCCAGCAUUAAGUUGGGCACUCUGGUGAGACUGCCGGUGACAAACCGGAGGAAGGUGGGGAUGACGUCAAAUCAUCAUGCCCCUUAUGACCUGGGCUACACACGUGCUACAAUGGAUGGUACAACGAGUUGCGAACUCGCGAGAGUAAGCUAAUCUCUUAAAGCCAUUCUCAGUUCGGAUUGUAGGCUGCAACUCGCCUACAUGAAGUCGGAAUCGCUAGUAAUCGCGGAUCAGCAUGCCGCGGUGAAUACGUUCCCGGGCCUUGUACACACCGCCCGUCACACCAUGAGAGUUUGUAACACCCAAAGUCGGUGGGGUAACCUUUUAG